This 306-nucleotide ribosomal RNA is filed under the name uncultured Synergistaceae bacterium. RNAcentral describes it as "bacterial SSU rRNA". It matches the Rfam family "Bacterial small subunit ribosomal RNA", at positions 1088 to 1382 of the family's 1533-position model. Lineage: Bacteria; Thermotogati; Synergistota; Synergistia; Synergistales; Synergistaceae. The record is from RNAcentral.
GCAACCGAGCGCAACCCCUACGCUGCCAGUUGCCAACCGGGUCGGAAGACCGGGCGACUCUGGCGGGACGUGCCAUCGACAAGAAUGGAGGAAGGUGGGGAGUGACGUCAAGUCAUCAUGGCCCUUAUGUCCAGGGCGACACACGUGCUACAAUGGCCGGCACAGCGGGAAGCGAGGCAGUGAUGCCAAGCGGAUCCCUUAAAGCCGGUCUCAGUUCGGAUUGAAGUCUGCAACUCGACUUCAUGAAGCUGGAAUCGCUAGUAAUCGCAGAUCAGCCAAGCUGCGGUGAAUACGUUCCCGGGCCUU